AUUUUUCUCUUUUUUCAUAGGAAAUCAAAUACUAAUAGUUACUAGACAUGAAAUCCUCAAGAAUCGGAGUUGUGGGUGCAAUUUUGAUGGUCCUAAUAUUUGCUGCUAAUUAUGCAGUGGCAUAUGAUCUCAUUUAUAGUAAUUGUGUCUUUGGAUGUACAAGCAAUUGUGGGGCAACCUGUGAAGACUACUGUGAUCGGGUCGAGAACCGCAUUAAUACGCCACCACCUAACAUCCCGAC
RNAcentral lists this long non-coding RNA (241 nucleotides) under Salvia miltiorrhiza (redroot sage). RNAcentral's name for it is "long non-coding RNA (SMIL_LNC000943)". Lineage: Eukaryota; Viridiplantae; Streptophyta; Magnoliopsida; Lamiales; Lamiaceae. The record is from RNAcentral.